GGGGUUGUGGCUCAGUGAUGGAGCACUUGCUUAGCACACAGGAGGCACUGGGUUCAAUCCCCAGCACCA
This 69-nucleotide transfer RNA is filed under the name Ictidomys tridecemlineatus (thirteen-lined ground squirrel). Its description in RNAcentral is "Spermophilus tridecemlineatus (thirteen-lined ground squirrel) tRNA". It matches the Rfam family "tRNA". Rfam says of the family: Transfer RNA (tRNA) molecules are approximately 80 nucleotides in length. Their secondary structure includes four short double-helical elements and three loops (D, anti-codon, and T loops). Further hydrogen bonds mediate the characteristic L-shaped molecular structure. tRNAs have two regions of fundamental functional importance: the anti-codon, which is responsible for specific mRNA codon recognition, and the 3' end, to which the tRNAs corresponding amino acid is attached (by aminoacyl-tRNA synthetases). tRNAs cope with the degeneracy of the genetic code in two manners: having more than one tRNA (with a specific anti-codon) for a particular amino acid; and 'wobble' base-pairing, i.e. permitting non-standard base-pairing at the 3rd anti-codon position. The record is from Rfam by way of RNAcentral. Lineage: Eukaryota; Metazoa; Chordata; Mammalia; Rodentia; Sciuridae.